Scylla paramamosain (green mud crab) is the source of this 2147-nucleotide RNA transcript. It is a transcript of the gene named ran-specific GTPase-activating protein-like, with no coding region annotated. Lineage: Eukaryota; Metazoa; Arthropoda; Malacostraca; Decapoda; Portunidae. The transcript has 8 exons. The record is from RefSeq and is a predicted model, not a curated record.
AGAUUUGCAUCAACAACCACCACCACCACCACCACCACCAGCAUGGCAGUAGUAGCAGGAGUAGUGAAUGGUCACACGUUUGUGGUGACUUCUUGGACUAUCAGGCUGCCCUUGUAGUGUGUUGGACUAUCGGUGAACAAGGAGACCUGAAAGUUACGUGGUACAACUAUUUCGGUGAUAGAAGUGGCUGAGUUGCCGAUCCAAAGGCCUGGCUUAAGAGUGAUCCCGAGCUACCUGUACCAUCAAGAUCAAGAUCGAGCGUCCAUAUCAGAUGGUGAGUCUGCGUACAAAAUUGCAUCGGAGGGAUUGAUAGAGGCAGCCACAAUUAUCCAUCAUCAUCGGCGACACCAUGGCUCUUGAGAAGACAGACAGACAGACCUCGAUGACAGCGUGGUGAGCGAGGAGGGGGAGUCAACCAGCAGAGUAGGGGAGCAUGACCCCUACUUUGAACCAGUGGUGACCUUGCUGGAGGUCUUCGUGGUUAGUGAUGAUGACCAGGAGGAGGAAAUGAUAAGACUGAGUUUCGAGGUCAGGUCAGGCAGUACAAGCUGUUUCAUUAUCACACCCUCUGAGUCGCCCCCACAGUGGAAGGAACGGGGCAUGGAGGCCAUUAACAUUCUGAGGAACAAGCAGAAGAAGGCUGUGGAGUUUGUUCAGUGGCAGAAUUAAUGCCAGUGGCUGAGUUCAGAUCCUCCAACACACACACAUACACACACACACACACACACACACACACACACACACACACACACACACACACACACACACACACACACACACACACACACACACACACACACACACACACACACACACACACAGCAGCCCCUCCACCUCCUCACAGCCCUCCACAGCCUCUGACACAGCCCCUGACACAGCAUCUGACACAGCCCCUUCACAGACCACCACAUACCUCACACACACCACAGGAGUCUCACAAACAGUCUCACAGCCUUCACAAGCAGUCCCACACUCCACCACAGACACACCAGACCCACAGCCCUUCACCUCACCCAUUUCCCAGCUCCCCACAGCCCCUCAGCCACCACAAAUGAAGCCACAAAAGGAAGGGACUGUGGCUUCACCCAACCAGCCAGGAGAGCCUACAGAGAGGGGGCCAGACAGCUUAGUGGCAGAGCUGCAGGUGGCCAUCGUUAGCUUCCUGGUGGUACAGGUGUAGGACGGCUGGGAGCAGUGGAGGUGCCUGGUGGAGCAGCUGUGCCGGGCAGAGGGGCUGCUGCUGCUGCUGGGGAGAGCCACACUUGUAUGGUGGUAACACAGAGAGGAAGUGGAAGAAACCUUGGGACGCUCUCAUAACUCAGGAGCAAUAAGUACACCUUACUGGAAACCUUGUGAUUGACAGGUGGUGGUGACUGCAGGAACCAAUUCAGAUGUCUGUCUUGUGUUGGCGAACGUCCUGUCUGCAGUCAGGCCAGUAGUGCCAUGUUGCAGGGUGUGACAUCAGGUUAAGAGCCAAAUGGAGAGUGUCUGCAGCCAGUACUGGGUGUGCUGAUGCUGUACAAGUGUCGAGCCAGGUGCCACAGCACAUGUCAGCUGACUCCACCAGAGUAGUGUCUCUAGUCCAGGAUGCACUGCUGUGUACGACUUGUAUGUCUUUGCUAAUAAAUAAAUAUUUGUUACUAUUCUUAUUAUAUAUGUGAAAUAAAUAUAUAGUUUGCUAACAGUGUGGUAUAAUAGUGUAAAAAUAAAUAUUUGAUAACAAUUCAUGCAUGCCCCAAAGGUAAAAAAAAAAAAAAAAACAGGAUUGUGCCCUCUAAACUUUUAAGAUACCACUUGCACAUAGAAGCCCCGUCCCAGCGACUCCAGUGUCGGCUGGGAUGGGGCUUCUAUGUGCAAAUGGUAUCUUAAACUUAGUUUAGUAGCCAAUCAUGACUUUUUUUUUUACCUUGAGGGCAUGACCUGUACUCCCAGAAAGACUAUUUGCCAAAGAUAUUAUUGACAUGGCAUAAAUAACUAUCAUUGUUUUUUUUUACCUUGAGGGCAUGACCUGUACUCCCAGAAAGACUAUUUGCCAAAGAUAUUAUUGACAUGGCAUAAAUAACUAUCAUUAUGUUCAAGAUGGUAUACUGAAUGUUUAUUGUUUUAAUGUGAAUGUUAAGUGAAUAAAUACACAACAAUAAUAUAAA